This 253-nucleotide ribosomal RNA is filed under the name uncultured bacterium. Its description in RNAcentral is "partial 16S ribosomal RNA". It matches the Rfam family "Bacterial small subunit ribosomal RNA", at positions 524 to 776 of the family's 1533-position model. The record is from RNAcentral.
UACGGAGGGGGCUAGCGUUGUUCGGAAUUACUGGGCGUAAAGCGCACGUAGGCGGCUUUGCAAGUCAGAGGUGAAAGCCCGGGGCUCAACCCCGGAAUUGCCUUUGAGACUGCAUCGCUAGAAUUGUGGAGAGGCAAGUGGAAUUCCGAGUGUAGAGGUGAAAUUCGUAGAUAUUCGGAAGAGCACCAGUGGCGAAGGCGACUUACUGGACACAUAUUGACGCUGAGGUGCGAAAGCGUGGGGAGCAAACAGG